This 497-nucleotide ribosomal RNA is filed under the name uncultured bacterium. Its description in RNAcentral is "partial 16S ribosomal RNA". It matches the Rfam family "Bacterial small subunit ribosomal RNA", at positions 28 to 507 of the family's 1533-position model. The record is from RNAcentral.
GACGAACGCUGGCGGCGUGCCUAAUACAUGCCAGUUGAGCGCUGAAGGUUGGUACUUGUACCAACUGGAUGAGCAGCGAACGGGUGAGUAACGCGUGGGGAAUCUGCCUUUGAGCGGGGGACAACAUUUGGAAACGAAUGCUAAUACCGCAUAAAACCUUUAAACACAAGUUUUAAGUUUGAAAGAUGCAAUUGCAUCACUCAAAGAUGAUCCCGCGUUGUAUUAGCUAGUUGGUGAGGUAAAGGCUCACCAAGGCGAUGAUACAUAGCCGACCUGAGAGGGUGAUCGGCCACAUUGGGACUGAGACACGGCCCAAACUCCUACGGGAGGCAGCAGUAGGGAAUCUUCGGCAAUGGACGAAAGUCUGACCGAGCAACGCCGCGUGAGUGAAGAAGGGUUUCGGAUCGUAAAACUCUGUUGGUAGAGAAGAACGUUGGUGAGAGUGGAAAGCUCAUCAAGUGACGGUAACUACCCAGAAAGGGACGGCUAACUACGUG